AUGUGUAUCCCUAAGAAGGAUCGAGGUAUGGGCUCUCGGGACCUACACUCUUUUAAUUUGGCAAUUCUAGCAAAGCAAUCCUAGAGACUCGUUUCAAAUCCGGAUUCCCUGUGCGCUCAAGUUUUAAAAGCUAAGUAUUACCCAAGCCGCAAUUUACUUAAAGCUGGUCCAAGAAAGGGUUCAUCUUUUACGUGGCAAAGCAUUGUGGCUGGUCUUAAUACUUUUAGAAGAGGGCACAUCUGGCGUGUUGGCACGGGGCGGAACAAUCAAUAAUUCAAUAUAUGAGAGGAUCAUUGGAUUCCGGGGAGCCCCGCUCGCAUGAUAUUAAGUCCAAAGGGGCAUGUUCUUCUUCAAAUAGUAAAUGAGCUAAUUGAUCCGAAUAUAGGUAAUUGGGAUGAGGACUUAAUACGAGUAAUUUUUUGCCCUAUUGAUGUUGACAUGAUUCUUCAGAUACCCCUUAGCGAUCAUAUGGAUGAAGAUUUCGUGGCAUGGCACUACACAAAAGCAUACACGUUCUCGGUUAGGUCAGCAUAUUAUAUUGAAUGGGAUCAUUCUCACCGGCAUAGACUUACCAUUCUGAUAGUCAAGGUACAUCAUCAUGGAACCUAG
Molecule: ribosomal RNA, 609 nt
Filed under: Triticum aestivum (bread wheat)
Lineage: Eukaryota; Viridiplantae; Streptophyta; Magnoliopsida; Poales; Poaceae
Description: partial small subunit ribosomal RNA
Source: RNAcentral